Molecule: transfer RNA, 75 nt
Filed under: Candidatus Komeilibacteria bacterium CG_4_9_14_0_2_um_filter_36_13
Lineage: Bacteria; Candidatus Komeiliibacteriota
Also listed under: 2 other names
Description: tRNA-Asn
Rfam family: tRNA
About the family: Transfer RNA (tRNA) molecules are approximately 80 nucleotides in length. Their secondary structure includes four short double-helical elements and three loops (D, anti-codon, and T loops).
Source: RNAcentral
UGCCGAGUAGUUCAAUGGUAGAACGCUACGCUGUUAACGUAGAUGUUGGUGGUUCGAAUCCACCCUCGGCAGCCA